UACCAGCACCCCGAGUGGUCGGGACGAUUAUUGGGCCUAAAGCAUCCGUAGCCGGUUCUGCAAGUCUCCCGUUAAAUCCAACUGCUCAACUGGUGGGCUGCGGAGGAUACUACAGAGCUAGGAGGCAGGAGAGGCAAGCGGUACUCAGUGGGUAGGGGUAAAAUCCGUUGAUCCAUUGAAGACCACCAGUGGCGAAGGCGGCUUGCCAGAAUGCGCUCGACGGUGAGGGAUGAAAGCUGGGGGAGCAAACCGG
This 253-nucleotide ribosomal RNA is filed under the name uncultured bacterium. Its description in RNAcentral is "partial 16S ribosomal RNA". It matches the Rfam family "Archaeal small subunit ribosomal RNA", at positions 474 to 727 of the family's 1478-position model. The record is from RNAcentral.